Molecule: long non-coding RNA, 1344 nt
Filed under: Felis catus (domestic cat)
Lineage: Eukaryota; Metazoa; Chordata; Mammalia; Carnivora; Felidae
Description: lncRNA (ENSFCAG00000047533.1)
Source: RNAcentral
GGAAGGAGGAGGGAGGGAAGGGAGGGAGGAGGGAAGGAAGGAAGGGAGGGAGGAGGAAGGGAGGGAGGAGGGAAGGAAGGAAGGAAGAAGGAAGGAGGAAGGGAGGAGGAAGGGAGGAGGGAAGGGAGGAGGGAAGGAAGGAAGGAAGGAGGAAGGAAGGGAGGAAGGAGGAGGAAGGAGGGAGGAGGGAAGGAAGGAAGGAAGGAGGGAGGAGGGAAGGAAGGAAGGAAGAAGGAAGGAGGAAGGGAGGAGGAAGGGAGGAGGGAAGGGAGGGAGGGAAGGAAGGAAGGAAAGGAGGAGGAAGGAAGGAGGAAGGAGGGAGGGAAGGGAGGGAGGGAAGGAAGGAAGGAAGGGAGGGAGGAGGGAAGGAAGGAAGGAAAGAAGGAAGGAAGGAAGGGAGGAGGAAGGGAGGAGGGAAGGGAGGGAGGGAGGGAAGGAAGGAAGGAGGGAGGAGGGAAGGGAGGGAGGGAGGGAAGGAAGGAAGGAAAGAAGGAAGGAAGGAAGGGAGGAGGAAGGGAGGAGGGAAGGGAGGGAGGGAAGGAAGGAAGGAAAGGAGGAAGGAAGGGAGGAAAGGAGGAGGGAAGGGAGGGAGGGAAGGAAGGAAGGAAGGGAAGGAGGAGGGAAGGAAGGAAAGAAGGAAGGAAGGAAGGAGGAAGGGAGGAGGAAGGGAGGAGGAAGGGAGGGGGGAAGGAAGGAAGGGAGGGAAGGAAGGAAGGGAGGAAGGAGGAGGGAAGGGAGGGAGGGAAGGAAGGAAGGAAGGGAGGGAGGGAAGGAAGGAAGGAAGGAAAGAAGGAAGGAGGAAGGAGGAGGAGGGAAGGGAGGGAGGGAGGGAAGAAAGGAAGGAAAGAAGGAAGGAAGGGAGGAGGAAGGAGGAGGGAAGGGAGGGAGGGAAGGAAGGAAGGAAGGGAGGGAGGAGGGAAGGGAGGGAGGGAGGAGGAAGGGAGGGAAGGAAAGAAGGAAGGAAGGCAGGGAGGAGGAAGGAAGGAGGAAGGGAGGGAGGGAAGGAAGGAGGAAGGAAGGAGGGAGGAGGAAGGGAGGAGGAAGGAAGGAAGGAAGGGAGGGAGGAGGGAAGGGAGGGAGGGAGGGAAGGAAGGAAGGAAGGAAGGAAGGAAGGAAGGGAGGGAAGGAGGAAAUUCACAUAGGUUCUGCAUUCAGAAAUCGGAAAUCUCGAGGCUUUGAAGCCUUUCCUUGUAGAAGCUGGUUUCUCUUAAGGAUAUUCCUGUGUUCUCUUGCUUUGAUGGUUCAAGAGUAAACAAAUCUGUUGUCGUUCACCAAAAUGCUUUAGAGACCCAGAACAGGUAAAACCCCUCCUCCCUCAUAUCCAUUCUAAGCAAAUAAUGGACC